CAUGGGGCUUAGCCUCAGACUCCCUCAGGAAGGGAAGGACGUGCAUCCUGCCUGUCCUGUGCAUACGGGGUUCCUCUCCAUGGACUCUUUCCAAGAUGUUGGUCUCCAGAAUGCUCCUGGCUCUGCUCUUCUUGGAAGCAAUGAUGAGACAUCUGUCAGUGUGAGCCCGCAGAGGGAAGCUGAGGUCUGCUCAUGGCUCUAGGAUCCAGUAACUCUUCCUGUAAGAACGUGUGGCUUGGAUGUGAAGAGAUGCUAUCGAUCAGACAAUGGAGGUUGCAGAUGAAGGAGAAAAGGUUGGAAUUAAGCCGACAGCACUCAGCUGCUGUAAGCUAGACAUUGCAGAAUGGUGGCUUGCAUGAAACCAGAGGCCAAACUCUAUGGGCUGGAGCCCCACAGGGAGUCCUCCAAGUGAAGAAUGAGCUCUGAGCUGCAAGGGAGAUCCACUCCCACUAAACUAACUGGGUUCCUCCACCUCCCGAGGGGACUGACUUUGUUUGAUGGGCUCUGUCAUCCUCAGGAGGAAACUUUCCUCUACAAAAUGGUGAAAUGGUGCCCACGUGGAAACAUUCUGACUGUGCAUGUGCCUGGAGCCCGGCGUUGUUGCAGAGGAGGAGAGUGGCGUAGGAUGGCUCCAAAGAAAAGAGGGCUGCGUCAGGAAGAAAACCUCCUGCCAUGUCAGCUUGCCCAGACCUUUCUGUGA
This 700-nucleotide long non-coding RNA is filed under the name Chrysolophus pictus (golden pheasant). RNAcentral's name for it is "lncRNA (ENSCPIG00010001267.1)". The record is from RNAcentral. Lineage: Eukaryota; Metazoa; Chordata; Aves; Galliformes; Phasianidae.